RNAcentral lists this ribosomal RNA (4099 nucleotides) under Triticum aestivum (bread wheat). Its description in RNAcentral is "partial small subunit ribosomal RNA". Lineage: Eukaryota; Viridiplantae; Streptophyta; Magnoliopsida; Poales; Poaceae. The record is from RNAcentral.
CGCCCUAGCCUCCCUCGCACGAAAAAAAACCCUCCUCUCGAUCCACCCCUGGCGCUGCCCUCAUCUCUCGCUCCGCCCGCCGCCGCCGCCCCUGCUUCCCUCCCGCUCGACCACCUCCACCGCUCCCACCCUUCUCUCCAUUGUCGGAUCCGCUUGCUCGUCAAGGUUAGGCGGCGAAAAGGUCUUGAUAUAUGCCUUGGCCACAGGUCUGCAGGUGCCCACAGAAUACAAUCCAUCGCCACCCAUGACUCCCUCACCCUGCUAGGGUUCCUAGCCCCGUCCUCCGCCGCCGCUGCGUGUUCCCGUCCGACCUCGCCCGAGCGAUUUCUUGACCUCGCCGGGAGCAGGCAGCUGGAUCCCGCCGCCGUGCCUCCCUCUCUCCCUUCUCUUCUUUUCCCCUACCUCUCUCUCUCCUCUGAACUGAGCGUCGUUCCUCUCUGCAGGUGCCGCCAUGGCCGCGUCUUGGAGCUCGCCGCCGUGGGCUGCGUGCCCCUCCGAUGACGGCCUUCCUCGCCCACGUCCAGGUCCCCUGGCCGGCCAUCUUCCAUUUUCUCUAUUCCCGCCCCAUGCCCCUCCCCAAAGAUCCCUCCCUCUCAUGGGCGUCACCACCAUCACUGCACCCAGCCUCCCUCAUCGUGGUGCAGUCAGUUCCGUUCCGUGGCCUCUAUCGUGUCUUCGAAGAAGGUCGUGAUACGCCACAAGUGGGAGCGGAAGCUGCGAUGUCAAGAUCUACAAGCAGGACAUGAACCACCUUGCCAUGUAUUUCCUCGUCACAUUAGGAUUCGUCGACGCCGCCAACAGGUUCUGUAUCAAUUCCGGCACCCAACGUACUGUAUGCCCACACAUUUAAAUCAUGCCGGUCUUACUCCUGCAAUACUCCUCGAAUAGUACUUGAGAUUUAGGCAGCGGUGGGCAUGCGCUGCAGGUCAUUCACCUGGUUGGCCUCUUUGAUGUAUCUGGUGUUGUUGUGUCAAUGUGGAAGGAGAGCCCGCUUCUCCGGGACGCUGGCGCUGACAUGCUCACUGUAGGCACCGUCAUGGCGGUGCUCGACUUAAGGGAGGAGGUCGGCAACCACCACUUCUUGAACCAAAGUUUGCAGAAGCUAUGGAAGAAAUGGUAACUUGCUUACUUGGGAAAACUGCAUUGGAUAGCGAUGAUGGUGACAGUGAUGAAUCUAAAUAGUGUGACGGUCUGAGUACUCGUGGGCGUGACGAGGUGAUUGCGGAUCCACCAGAACAUGCGAGUGGCAAUGCUUCAGGACAAGCAGGAAAUGGUUCAAGCAUACUUAUCCAAAUCUUAUAAUCCUGAUGGGAGAAAACAUUGUGAAGCAGUUCAGGCUGAAUGGCCAGUUAACAAGAAUCGGGUGGAUCUGCGUGUGGUGGAUGAUCGUUUACAAGGAAGGUUGAAUGUAUGGUUCCUGGAGAUGAUCAGAUGGUGCCACGUAUUUGACCUGCGAUUUGUGCCUCCAAUAGUUCCAAUGAAUGCUCCAUAGAGAAUGUAAGGAAGUAGGAAUCAGCAGGCGUCUCUGAGUUGUUUCAGUUACCAUAUUUGCUUGCAAGGUGUGAGGGUGAAGCCAACUCUAAAAGUGGGGUCUGUUCAAGUAGAAGGAACAUGCCAAGAUGAAAGAAGACGGAGCAAAAAAACCUAUAGAGGCAUGAACGCAACACUAUCUAAAACGUCUCACACUUCUGUCUAGGAAUAUAAUGGAAUCUGGGAAGAAAGAAAGAGGAAGAGUUCGCACCCACCUUCUCUCAGAGCCGCCGCUUUGAGUUCGUGUCGGCCCUACUGCAGUCGGCAGUUGUCAAGGUCGACCUGCGUGCCGCAGGGGAGCAUCACUGCCCUACACGCCGAGGGGCGCCAUGCGCUGGCUCCCACGUGCGGUUUGACCAACAAGUCGAGAUUGCGCGUGCGGAGGUAGAGGGCAAGGAAGGGGAAUCCGGCGUGCCCGCCCUGCACAACAUCAGGCCACAUGGAAGCUCCCGAGCACGAAAACGAACGCUCACUACUCUCUCCUUCUUGAAUUGCCGGCAUCGCUUUAGAUGGGUGAAGAGAGCUGAGCAUUUCUGGUGAAGCUGGAGGAGGAUGGAAGAAUAAUAGUCAUUUUGGAGCUAGCUACGACCUCCUCUGGAUGUUUCAUAGGGUUCCGCACAAUGUGUUCUCCUGUAAUUUGGUCACCAAGGCUGCUGAAAUGAUUUGGCAUCUGAACUUUGUCAAGUCCUUAUUAGAAGACGCAGAUUGCAGAUCAUUCUAUCCCUGUAAGACCAAGAUUUUGAUGCUCCUGUUACCUGGCAUCGAGGAAGAAGGUAUCCCCCUUAUACGAAGAUUUCUAGCUUGCCUAUGUGUUGUAAUGUUAAUAAGUGCAUUCGGCCAAACAAUUUGCGGACCAAAUGAACUUGCUGUGGAUAUAGAAGAAUAAGGCGGCACACAAGGAGUUGCCUGAAUUGCAGUGGCAGUGGUGUUGUAAUAUGCCUCUAUUCCAACACACACAUUCCAGUUGCCAUUGGUGAGCAAAUGAGAUAUGAAGUUACCAGCGAUUUUCAUUAUACGUGGUAAAAAUAAUGCAAAUCAUGCUUUAUGGAGAGUUGAAACACUGACUAUUGAUCGGAGAAAAUUUAGUGGUGACAACUACCCAAGAACAUUGAGAAUGGCGCCAGAAAUUCCUUUUGCUGAUAUCACAAAUUUUGUGCCAUGGUCCAUAAAGAGAACAAGUGCUGGUGUGUGUUCCGAUCCAGUAAAUUUUCUUCAUGUGCCACACAAGUGGAGACGACUCUACUUUUUUACCAUGAUCUUGAGAGUUAUGAACUUUAUGACAAUAAUGACUCUCAAGUUCAACAAGAGCUCGUACAAAAGAUAUGGAAAGUGUUUAAGACUAUACUAGAAGAGACUGGCAAAUUAAGGGAAGAAACCAAGGAAGGCAUUUCUAUAGCUAAGUCCAUUGUAAUCAUUUUGGAUUGAAAUUCAAGUUUGGCAAAAGGUCUUGAUAUAUGCCUUGGUCACAGGUCUAAAUGUUAUAAGCAUGGCUCCCCACAUCCAAUUUUUCAGGCCAUGGAGCUUCUAUGGUUGGUUCAUAUGUGGUUAUCGAAGCAGGAUAAGUUCUUGAGGAGGACUCUAAUUGCUAUGGACCACAAGAUUUCAUAUGUCGCUCCCUAUUGCGUAUUGCUGUUGACAUUGGACUUGCUAUCCAGUAAGAGGGACAUUGGGAUCAUUGUUCAUCUAGAGAAGUCAGUGCUAUAUCUACGUCAGAAUAUUGGGAUGUUAAUGAUUGGAGAUGGAUUGACAAGUACCAAAUAUUGAUGCCAAGCAGAACUAAAACCUGUUCAUUGAUUACCUUCAGUCCCGCAUUCCAAUCAACAACAUUGGGCCGAGAGAGCGCGCGGGUGGCGCAAGAGGCAAUGGGCAGCCAGUGCGCGAGUGUGUUAGCAGUGGGUAUAUCUGAAGAUUAUUUCUCAACUCAGCAUGUGGGUAGAGACUAAAAAGACGAUGCCAUGGUAGCAUGGCAGACCUGGCAAGUGCCACGAACAUCAUGAUAUUCUUCCUUUUCUUAAUUCCUUGAUUUGAAAAAUAAUUUGCUCUGCGUGUGUAGGAACAUAGCAGUCGGGCAAACGACACUUUCACAUCUUGAUCUAUAAGGGAAAUAAUUUCUUUACUUUAGAAAAUGUGGGUUCGGAUUGGUCUGUUGAGUUAUGGCUAGCUGAUUGGAAUAAUUUUUCUAUUUAAAAAUGUAGCAAAUAGCAUUUCAUUAGAGAUUGGUCUGUUGAGUUAUGGCUGGCUGAUCGGAAUAAUUUUCCUAUUUAAAAAAUGUAGCAAAUAGCAUUUCAUUAGAGAUGGCUUUGCAGCAAAUUACAAAUCGCGCAAACCAAGCCAUCGCCGCCUCAUUGCUCUCGCAGGGAGCGACAACAACCGCCGGUCUCUUCUUCGCCUUCUUAGCCGGCAUCUCCCCCAUCCGGAUGCCCUGCGGCACGAGCCACUCCGCCACCGCCUGGGACUCGACCUCCGGGAAGUUUAGGUCCGUCUUCGGCCGUCCGGCACGCCACACCGCCACGUCGUAAGCAUGCGCGGCCUCAUCGGCGGUGGGAUACGUGCCGAGCCACGAACGCUG